Molecule: long non-coding RNA, 4089 nt
Filed under: Capsicum annuum
Lineage: Eukaryota; Viridiplantae; Streptophyta; Magnoliopsida; Solanales; Solanaceae
Description: long non-coding RNA (CANN_LNC021574)
Source: RNAcentral
UGGCAAGGCUUAGAUUUAAGCAGCAAAAAGUAUAGUUUCUUCCAUUGAGCUGUUCAUGAAAUGAUUAUUCUUCUUUGCAGCCAAUUUAUGAAGGACUAUAUAUAUUUGUUAGGUUCAUUAGUUCGUCAAAGGGAAAAUACGUUGUAAGCUGCAGUGAAACAAUAAUGUCUGUUAAUACUUGAGAUCUUGGCUGUGCAUACCAUGAAGUGUUUGUAUAUUUUUUGUUACAUUUACAAAAACAAUCAUUUCAUACAGUACAGUUUAUAUAAAGUAAUUUUGCUGGGCAGCCACUUUUUACGGCGCCUUUUAAUUUUUUUUUUAUCCACAGCCUGUAUAGGCAAACUUCAGAAGAAUUGAUAUCAUCUGCUUCUUCUUCUUCUUAGUUGUCGUACAAUAGUGUUUCGAAUCUAUAUCAAUUGAAACAUAAUGCUUGAAGAAAAGUGAGCGAUUAAUUAGGAGAAACUUGAAUGUAUUGGGAAGUAACCAUUGUUGCAAUUAUGAGAAGUGAGUCUUGACUUUCGAAUAUGAACAUUGAAUUUAAAUCAAGUGGGGUUGUUGGAAAAGUUCGAAAACAAGCAGGGAUCAAGUUUAGUCAUUCAAACUUGGAAAGCUACUUUCAGUUUCAAACAUAUACGCCUAAAAAUUCAGGCAUGCAUGUUGGAACUUGUAAAGCCCCAAGUGUUUAGACACUUAAAUAGAGCUAAGAGCGAGCCUACGUGACCUCUAAAUCCAGUAUAGAUUAUUUUGGGAUGGAUUCGGAGGUGUUGGGGAUGAUUUUAGGCAAGAAAAAGUGUCAUGCAUCGCAAGGGGGAACCCGUGCGCUAGCCUCGUGUCACGUGGAGCACCGCAGGGGGCUACUGCCUCACCCAUGUGGUGGACCCACGCCACGAGGGAGGCAGCCCGCGUUGGGCCUUGCGCCGUGAAGGGGAGGACCACGCGUUCAAACUGUAUAUAAUAAAAAAAAAAUCAUCUCACGCAUGCGAUGUGUUCAAUAUUUUUUUUCCUCAAGUGAUAUGUUCAAAUUAAACUAGUGUUAUUAUCAUUUUGAGUUAUUCAAUUUUCAUAUGAUGCUUUUUCCCUUUUCACUUUUUAAUCAUUACAAUCAAAUUUUAAUUUGUUACAACCACAGUAUCGGUCAAAAUCACAUACUUUUAGAAAUGUUGCAAUCAACUCCAGAAAUUAUUGUGGGUUACAUCAAAUUCUCGUCACUAGAAGGUAUGUAGAACGAGCUUAAUACUUAUGAGUUUAAAGAUAUGUUUUCCCAAACUCUUAAGUCUACAUAGAAUAUCGAUUUCGAACUCCAUUGCGAGUGAUAAUUUGUGUAUUUUACUAAUAUUGUGGUUUUCUUAAUGUCAUGAGAAUAAUUGGGUUUUGAAUGUUACUCUUUUACUUGGUUGUUCACUUAUGAAAAUAGAUGGAAGAGUACAAUAUGGUUUAUGCAUUACGCUUGUUUUCGGUAUGAAUAUAUGUAUGAAUAAAGACGGAAGAAUACAAUUCGAUUUAUGCAUUUCACCUUAUGGUAUUUCUCACUUGGCUCUUAAAUUAUCAUUUUGUGGUCAAUGCUUUAAUUUUGAAAGGGCUAAAGAGAAGAAAAAGAGAUGGCUAAUAUGACUUGCAAGUCUUGGUAUGACGAUAUCAAUGCAGAAAUUGUCAUUUAGAAUCAGAAUGAGUUUUUAGAAAGAUGCAUGGUUUAAAGAACUAAAAUUGGGCUUUAAGAGCAUUAGAUGGUUGCCCAAGAAGGCAUGAGUUGAAAAGCUUAUAGCCCAAAACCGUGUUUUACCGACAUGUGGUUGAUUCUAUCCUGAAAUUCGGAUAAUCAUUAUAUACUUGGUUGUUUCUAACCUGAAAUUUGGAUAAUCAUUAUAUACUUGCUUCGUACCUUUGGUAUGCUAGAAUAGAAUGUAGAGACUCCAAUUUCUGUGACAAACUUUGAUUGAGAUCUUGGUCAACGAGUUAAAGUCGGACCCAUAUAGUUCGUCAUGUAGUAGAAAUGUCGAGAAUACCAUCUAACUCAGAAGUAAAUUGUUAUUGUUGUUGUUGUUAGAAUGUAGAGACUCCAAUUCUUACGACAAAACUUAGAUUGGGGACUUAGCCAACGAGUUAAAGCCGGACCCACAUAGCCCGUGGUGUAGUAGAAAUGUCGAGCAUAACAUAUAACUCAGAAGUAAAGAGUUAUUGUCGUUGUUGUUUCUGUUCAUUUUACAUGCCAAUACAUUCCUAGUAUUGACCGUCUUCGGGCGGUUACAUCAUGUCAUGAUAUAGGUUCGGAGGCUCAGUCUCAUGAUCCAGCGCAACAAUAGAAUUGUCACACCUCUUUUUUACCAGAAGAUACAAUUUGAGUUCGAAAGGGUUUGAUUAUUAAGUGACAAAAAGGAAAAUUUAUUUCAAAAUAUAUUGUUUACAUUCAAAACUCAGAGUUGCCACUUGGCAUAAAACCUGUGUGCCAAGUCACCUUUGAAAAUUUCUUUUCAAAACGAUUAUGACUCUUUAAACUGAUUUGCGAACAGAGAUUUCGGAUAAGAAAUUCUGUUGACCGAGGGAAAGGUAUAAGGCACCCCUCAAACCCGUGGUUCGACCACGAUCGUUUUGUAGAGUAUAUCGGCUAGUAUGACACUAUGAAAUGAAUAGACCAAUAAAACGCAUAAAACAAAUAAACCAAACAAAAUUCAAACCAAGAUAAUGUCAAGUUCGAAUUAUACAGUCCCAAAAAUAGAAAAAUGCGAAAAAUGUAAAUCAUAUUCUAACCCAAUCCUAGACUAUGCCCUACCCGAUACCUCAGGUCUUGAUCAUUAUAAUCUUCCGCCAACAUAAUAUGUCGGGACAUUCCCUGGUGAAUAAACACAAAUUGCCUUGGGCAUUCCCGGCUAAAUGAGUACAUUUUUUUCAAUGCGAGAAACCAACACCAUUCAACAAACACUUCAAACAUUCACAAUUCAUAAUUCUUAAAUUUGCCUAGCCGGCCUACCGUUUGCCUACCAAUUUUAACCCAUCAUGAUAUUUCGGGUUCGAUCCAAUCAACGUCAAUUUUAAAUCAAACAAUUAAUCAAUGAUGCAAGAAGGCAAUUACAUUUUAUCAAUUUUUCAUUUCCGCCCCCCAUAUUUCAUUCUAAAACACAAACGGAAUAUCAAUCCACCAACCAAUCCAUAAUUACGAAAAUCAAACACCAAAUCAAAACAAACAACAAUUCACACCAUCAAUCACGUAAAAAUCACAAAAUUAUGAAGAAAGAGAUGAAAAUUGGACCUCAAAUAUUUUUCAGUUGGAAUAAUCCUUCCGGCUAAAAACGCGUCCAAAAUCUCGAACUGAACCUCAACAAAACAAAUAAAUCCAGCUUUGAUCUAAUCCCCUUUACUUUUCCUCUCCAAAAUCGAACCAGAAAUCACAAGCGGAGAAGACCAGUACCAAUUCCAUAUCGUUUUCCAAUGAAUUUCAAAUGAAUAUUCGCCGGAAAGGGGACGGGGUGACUGUUUUGUUGGAUUUUUUGCCAGGUUUUGGUUUUUCGAUGGGGUUUGGAGUAUGUUGAAGCUAGUUUCGAUCAGGUUUUGGGGAUGGGACGUUUACGGCGAGGGAAUAAGGUUGUUGGCGAGUUGGGUGUGUCGAAUUUAAGGUUGGAACAGUGAUUCCGGUGAAAUUUCGCCGGAAUUUCAGAGUAGUGCAAACUGAUUUCGCUCCCGUUUCUCUCUCUGCUUUUCCCUCUAAUUCUUCACUGCUUUCGCUCAAUCCCUCUCCUCUCGAUCUCUCUUACCUUCAGCUAUUUUUCUGAUUUUCUCUAUCUCCGAUCAUCAGUCUCUCUCUCGAUUUACUGUGCGUCUGUGUGAGUUUCUUCACUCUGUGUGUUUGUGCAUAUUGUCCAGGUGAGAAUAUGUGUAUAUUGUGUAUGUGGGAGUGGUGUGUAGAUUCGUUGUUGUGUGUGAGUGAUGAAUAUAUGUAUAGAGUGUGUUUUCUAUCUGUGCGUAUAUUCCGUGAUGUGUAUAUAUAUUUUUUGUCUUUUGUGAGUUUGUUAGAAAAGGGAAUAAAAUGUGAGAAGGGGUACGGUGCAUGAGAUGGGUAGGGGUAUGUGAGGUAGGAUGGUUAGGGUGGGUAGGAUG